RNAcentral lists this ribosomal RNA (278 nucleotides) under Salmonella enterica subsp. enterica serovar Enteritidis. RNAcentral's name for it is "partial 16S ribosomal RNA". It matches the Rfam family "Bacterial small subunit ribosomal RNA", at positions 456 to 733 of the family's 1533-position model. Lineage: Bacteria; Pseudomonadati; Pseudomonadota; Gammaproteobacteria; Enterobacterales; Enterobacteriaceae. The record is from RNAcentral.
AUAACCGCAGCAAUUGACGUUACCCGCAGAAGAAGCACCGGCUAACUCCGUGCCAGCAGCCGCGGUAAUACGGAGGGUGCAAGCGUUAAUCGGAAUUACUGGGCGUAAAGCGCACGCAGGCGGUCUGUCAAGUCGGAUGUGAAAUCCCCGGGCUCAACCUGGGAACUGCAUUCGAAACUGGCAGGCUUGAGUCUUGUAGAGGGGGGUAGAAUUCCAGGUGUAGCGGUGAAAUGCGUAGAGAUCUGGAGGAAUACCGGUGGCGAAGGCGGCCCCCUGGA